Long non-coding RNA from Oncorhynchus keta (chum salmon), 423 nucleotides. RefSeq lists it as uncharacterized. The transcript has 3 exons. The record is from RefSeq and is a predicted model, not a curated record. NCBI's taxonomy places the organism in Eukaryota, Metazoa, Chordata, Actinopteri, Salmoniformes, Salmonidae.
UAGUACCACAGGGAUUUCUAACUAAAGUGGGUAACAAGUGGGUAAGGGUAGGCUAUGCGUGACAAUGCUAAAGGCCCGCCCCUCUGCUUUCGUGCACUGCGAAGUAGUUGCCGUGCGUGAAACAACUCCGUUAGGGACGAACGUUUUCACAAGUGAACUUGACGCUUUUUGGAUUCAUCAAUGAGCUCGUCCAGGCACUUGUAGCUGUUUGGAGUGAAGACCGGACUGGGAGACCGCUACCAGGAAAACGACCCGUUUUUUCUUCCAGUCGGGAUUCAACAUGAAAUUCUGGAUUUGUGUACUUGCUGUCAGCUGGGCAGUUGAAGCGACACACGGGGUAAGUGCUACCUUACUACUCAUAGUUAAGGGCUCUCGACUCGAGUGUGCGCAUGUAACCUUCAAUCAACUGAUGAGGCUACAGCC